UACAGAGGGUGCGAGCGUUGUCCGGAAUCACUGGGCGUAAAGGGCGCGUAGGCGGCCUGAUAAGUAGGGGGGUGAAAUCCUGUGGCUUAACUGCAGGGCUGCCUCCUAGACUGUUAGGCUCGAGCACGGUAGAGGCAGAUGGAAUUCCCGGUGUAGCGGUGGAAUGCGUAGAGAUCGGGAAGAACAUCGGUGGCGAAGGCGGUCUGCUGGGCCGUUGCUGACGCUGAGGCGCGACAGCGUGGGGAGCAAACAGG
Molecule: ribosomal RNA, 254 nt
Filed under: uncultured bacterium
Lineage: Bacteria
Description: partial 16S ribosomal RNA
Rfam family: Bacterial small subunit ribosomal RNA
Source: RNAcentral